GUGGGGAAUAUUGGACAAUGGGCGAAAGCCUGAUCCAGCCAUGCCGCGUGUGUGAAGAAGGUCUUCGGAUUGUAAAGCACUUUAAGUUGGGAGGAAGGGUAGUAACCUAAUACGUUGCUACUUUGACGUUACCGACAGAAUAAGCACCGGCUAACUUCGUGCCAGCAGCCGCGGUAAUACGAAGGGUGCAAGCGUUAAUCGGAAUUACUGGGCGUAAAGCGCGCGUAGGUGGUUCAGUAAGUUGGAAGUGAAAUCCCCGGGCUCAACCUGGGAACUGCUUUCAAAACUGCUGAGCUAGAGUACGGUAGAGGGUGGUGGAAUUUCCUGUGUAGCGGUGAAAUGCGUAGAUAUAGGAAGGAACACCAGUGGCGAAGGCGACUACCUGGACUGAUACUGACACUGAGGUGCGAAAGCGUGGGGAGCAAACAGGAUUAGAUACCCUUGUAGUCC
Molecule: ribosomal RNA, 450 nt
Filed under: uncultured bacterium
Lineage: Bacteria
Description: partial 16S ribosomal RNA
Rfam family: Bacterial small subunit ribosomal RNA
Source: RNAcentral